GACGAACGCUGGCGGCGUGCCUAAUACAUGCAAGUAGAACGCUGAAGGAGGAGCUUGCUCUUCUGGAUGAGUUGCGAACGGGUGAGUAACGCGUAGGUAACCUGCCUGGUAGCGGGGGAUAACUAUUGGAAACGAUAGCUAAUACCGCAUAACAGUAGAUGUUGCAUGACAUUUGCUUAAAAGGUGCAAUUGCAUCACUACCAGAUGGACCUGCGUUGUAUUAGCUAGUUGGUGGGGUAACGGCUCACCAAGGCGACGAUACAUAGCCGACCUGAGAGGGUGAUCGGCCACACUGGGACUGAGACACGGCCCAGACUCCUACGGGAGGCAGCAGUAGGGAAUCUUCGGCAAUGGACGGAAGUCUGACCGAGCAACGCCGCGUGAGUGAAGAAGGUUUUCGGAUCGUAAAGCUCUGUUGUAAGAGAAGAACGAGUGUGAGAGUGGAAAGUUCACACUGUGACGGUAUCUUACCAGAAAGGGACGGGUAACUACGUG
RNAcentral lists this ribosomal RNA (495 nucleotides) under uncultured bacterium. Its description in RNAcentral is "partial 16S ribosomal RNA". It matches the Rfam family "Bacterial small subunit ribosomal RNA", at positions 28 to 507 of the family's 1533-position model. The record is from RNAcentral.